Small nuclear RNA from Papaver somniferum (opium poppy), 168 nucleotides. RefSeq annotates it as U1 spliceosomal RNA. NCBI's taxonomy places the organism in Eukaryota, Viridiplantae, Streptophyta, Magnoliopsida, Ranunculales, Papaveraceae. The transcript has a single exon. The record is from RefSeq and is a predicted model, not a curated record.
AUGUAGACCUGGACGGGGUCUAUGGAUGAUCAUGAAGGUCCAUGGCCUAGGUUACUGAUCUCCACUGCACAUUUGGGAAGGGUGCUCGCCUAAGAUCUCCCCAUAGAGGGAGAUUCUACGUCAUAAUUUGUUCACGAGGGGGAACGCGUCCGCGUCCGCGGCCCCUGC